CGAUGCGUAGGGGUUCUGAGAGGAAGGUCCCCCACACUGGUACUGAGACACGGACCAGACUCCUACGGGAGGCAGCAGUGAGGAAUAUUGGUCAAUGGGAGAGAUCCUGAACCAGCCAAGCCGCGUGAGGGAAGACGGCCCUAUGGGUUGUAAACCUCUUUUGUCGGAGAACAAAACCCGGGACGUGUCCCGGACUGCGUGUAUCCGAAGAAAAAGCAUCGGCUAACUCCGUGCCAGCAGCCGCGGUAAUACGGAGGAUGCGAGCGUUAUCCGGAUUUAUUGGGUUUAAAGGGUGCGUAGGCGGUCUGUUAAGUCAGCGGUAAAAUUGCGGGGCUCAACCCCGUCGAGCCGUUGAAACUGGCAGACUUGAGUUGGCGAGAAGUACGCGGAAUGCGCGGUGUAGCGGUGAAAUGCAUAGAUAUCGCGCAGAACUCCGAUUGCGAAGGCAGCGUACCGGCGCCAGACUGACGCUGAGGCACGAAAGCGUGGGGAUCGAACAGGAUUAGAUACCCUGGUAGUCCACGCAGUAAACGAUGAAUGCUGGUUGUCCGGGUCGAAUGAGACCUGG
This 568-nucleotide ribosomal RNA is filed under the name uncultured bacterium. RNAcentral's name for it is "bacterial SSU rRNA". It matches the Rfam family "Bacterial small subunit ribosomal RNA", at positions 277 to 842 of the family's 1533-position model. The record is from RNAcentral.